RNAcentral lists this ribosomal RNA (305 nucleotides) under uncultured bacterium. Its description in RNAcentral is "bacterial SSU rRNA". It matches the Rfam family "Bacterial small subunit ribosomal RNA", at positions 336 to 639 of the family's 1533-position model. The record is from RNAcentral.
CUCCUACGGGGGGCAGCAGUGAGGAAUAUUGGUCAAUGGCCGAGAGGCUGAACCAGCCAAGUCGCGUGAGGGAAGAAUGUCCUAUGGAUUGUAAACCUCUUUUGUCAGGGAGCAAAGUCACCCACGUGUGGGUGUUGGAGAGUACCUGAAGAAAAAGCAUCGGCUAACUCCGUGCCAGCAGCCGCGGUAAUACGGAGGAUGCGAGCGUUAUCCGGAUUUAUUGGGUUUAAAGGGUGCGUGGGCGGAAGGUUAAGUCAGCGGUCAAAUGUCGGUGCUCAACACCGGCCUGCCGUUGAAACUGGUCU